GACGAACGCUGGCGGCGUGCCUAAUACAUGCAAGUUGAGCGCUGAAGGUUGGUACUUGUACCAACUGGAUGAGCAGCGAACGGGUGAGUAACGCGUGGGGAAUCUGCCUUUGAGCGGGGGACAACAUUUGGAAACGAAUGCUAAUACCGCAUAAAAACUUUAAACACAAGUUUUAAGUUUGAAAGAUGCAAUUGCAUCACUCAAAGAUGAUCCCGCGUUGUAUUAGCUAGUUGGUGAGGUAAAGGCUCACCAAGGCGAUGAUACAUAGCCGACCUGAGAGGGUGAUCGGCCACAUUGGGACUGAGACACGGCCCAAACUCCUACGGGAGGCAGCAGUAGGGAAUCUUCGGCAAUGGACGAAAGUCUGACCGAGCAACGCCGCGUGAGUGAAGAUGGUUUUCGGAUCGUAAAACUCUGUUGGUAGAGAAGAACGUUCGUGAGAGUGGAAAGCUCAUCAAGUGACGGUAACUACCCAGAAAGGGACGGCUAACUACGUG
RNAcentral lists this ribosomal RNA (497 nucleotides) under uncultured bacterium. RNAcentral's name for it is "partial 16S ribosomal RNA". It matches the Rfam family "Bacterial small subunit ribosomal RNA", at positions 28 to 507 of the family's 1533-position model. The record is from RNAcentral.